RNAcentral lists this ribosomal RNA (433 nucleotides) under uncultured bacterium. RNAcentral's name for it is "partial 16S ribosomal RNA". It matches the Rfam family "Bacterial small subunit ribosomal RNA", at positions 29 to 506 of the family's 1533-position model. The record is from RNAcentral.
AGCGAACGCUGGCGGCAGGCCUAACACAUGCAAGUCGAACGAACCUUUCGGGGUUAGUGGCGGACGGGUGAGUAACACGUGGGAACGUGCCUUUAGGUUCGGAAUAACUCAGGGAAACUUGUGCUAAUACCGAAUGUGCCCUUCGGGGGAAAGAUUUAUCGCCUUUAGAGCGGCCCGCGUCUGAUUAGCUAGUUGGUUGAGGUAAUGGCUCACCAAGGCGACGAUCAGUAGCUGGUCUGAGAGGAUGAUCAGCCACAUUGGGACUGAGACACGGCCCAAACUCCUACGGGAGGCAGCAGUGGGGAAUCUUGCGCAAUGGGCGAAAGCCUGACGCAGCCAUGCCGCGUGAAUGAUGAAGGCCUUAGGAUUGUAAAAUUCUUUCACCGGGGACGAUAAUGACGGUACCCGGAGAAGAAGCCCCGGCUAACUUCGU